Molecule: ribosomal RNA, 253 nt
Filed under: uncultured bacterium
Lineage: Bacteria
Description: partial 16S ribosomal RNA
Rfam family: Bacterial small subunit ribosomal RNA
Source: RNAcentral
UACGUAGGGCGCAAGCGUUGUCCGGAAUCAUUGGGCGUAAAGCGCGUGUAGGCGGCUUGGUAAGUCCGUUCUGAAAGCCCGGGGCUCAACCCCGGGAGGCGGAUGGAUACUGUCAAGCUUGAGUCCGGAAGAGGCGAGUGGAAUUCCCGGUGUAGCGGUGAAAUGCGCAGAUAUCGGGAGGAACACCAAUGGCGAAGGCAGCUCGCUGGGACGUGACUGACGCUGAGACGCGAAAGCGUGGGGAGCAAACAGG